UGACUCUGUCAGCACUGCUGUAUAUGUAGAAUUGAGGGCAACUUGGUUGCCGGGAUGUCAAUAGAUCUAGAACGUCAUAAAGCCUCCUGCAAUUUCAUCCAACCAUCAAUGCUGAUAAACAUUUGCAGAAAAGUUACUGCAGGCUUAGUUUCAACAGAAGUUUUGGCUUCUAUUGUCACAUCUCUAUCGUUUAAAGUCAUG
Long non-coding RNA from Solanum verrucosum, 201 nucleotides. RefSeq lists it as uncharacterized. The transcript has 3 exons. Lineage: Eukaryota; Viridiplantae; Streptophyta; Magnoliopsida; Solanales; Solanaceae. The record is from RefSeq and is a predicted model, not a curated record.